Molecule: ribosomal RNA, 326 nt
Filed under: uncultured bacterium
Lineage: Bacteria
Description: bacterial SSU rRNA
Rfam family: Bacterial small subunit ribosomal RNA
Source: RNAcentral
GCGAGCGUUGUCCGGAAUUAUUGGGCGUAAAGGGUGCGUAGGCGGCCUUUUAAGUCGAUGUGAAAGCCCGCGGCUUAACCGCGGAAUGGCAUUUGAAACUGGAGGGCUUGAGUGUCGGAGAGGGUAGUGGAAUUCCCAGUGUAGCGGUGAAAUGCGUAGAUAUUGGGAGGAACACCAGUGGCGAAGGCGACUACCUGGACGAUAACUGACGCUGAGGCACGAAAGCUAGGGGAGCAAACAGGAUUAGAUACCCUGGUAGUCCUAGCCGUAAACGAUGGGUACUAGGUGUNGGNGGUUUCGAUACCNUCAGUGCCGCAGCUAACGCA